UGGGGAAUUUUGGACAAUGGGGGCAACCCUGAUCCAGCAAUGCCGCGUGUGUGAAGAAGGCCUUCGGGUUGUAAAGCACUUUUGUCCGGAAAGAAAUGGCUCUGGUUAAUACCCGGGGUCGAUGACGGUACCGGAAGAAUAAGCACCGGCUAACUACGUGCCAGCAGCCGCGGUAAUACGUAGGGUGCGAGCGUUAAUCGGAAUUACUGGGCGUAAAGCGUGCGCAGGCGGUUUUGUAAGACAGGCGUGAAAUCCCCGAGCUCAACUUGGGAAUGGCGCUUGUGACUGCAAGGCUAGAGUAUGUCAGAGGGGGGUAGAAUUCCACGUGUAGCAGUGAAAUGCGUAGAGAUGUGGAGGAAUACCGAUGGCGAAGGCAGCCCCCUGGGGCGUCACUGACGCUCAUGCACGAAAGCGUGGGGAGCAAACAGGAUUAGAUACCCUGGUAGUCCACGCCCUAAACGAUGUCAACUAGUUGUUGGGGAUUCAUUUCUUCAGUAACGUAGCUAACGCGUGAAGUUGACCGCCUGGGGAGUACGGUCGCAAGAUUAA
RNAcentral lists this ribosomal RNA (549 nucleotides) under uncultured Cupriavidus sp. Its description in RNAcentral is "bacterial SSU rRNA". It matches the Rfam family "Bacterial small subunit ribosomal RNA", at positions 355 to 897 of the family's 1533-position model. The record is from RNAcentral. Lineage: Bacteria; Pseudomonadati; Pseudomonadota; Betaproteobacteria; Burkholderiales; Burkholderiaceae.